Brassica napus (rape) is the source of this 2580-nucleotide RNA transcript. It is a transcript of the gene named glutathione S-transferase T3, with no coding region annotated. Lineage: Eukaryota; Viridiplantae; Streptophyta; Magnoliopsida; Brassicales; Brassicaceae. The record is from RefSeq and is a predicted model, not a curated record. The transcript is spliced from 2 exons.
UACACUUGUGAAAAUACACGUCCCCAAACAACUUACGUCACUAAGAAACUAGCUAUUACUAGUUAUCUUACACUUGUGAUACCUUUUUCCUAUACACUUGUGAAAAUACAGGUCUCACACAACUGUUUUAAAAUACACUUGUGAACUAAAGUCUACAUAUCACAAAGUGUAUUUUAAAACAGUUGUGUGGGGACAUGUAUUUUCCUAUACAAAAACGAUUCUCUGCUUUGGCAUUAAUUUUCAGAUACAACGAAUACACAACAAAUAUUUAAUUUUUGGUGUAGGCUGUAAAUAAUAAUCUUUAAUUUCAGAUUUAAAUAAAGAUGCUAAAAUCUGCAAAUAUAAAUGACCAAAGAAACAUCUAUUAUCUAAAGUCAUGAAAAAGGAACUGUUUCGCUCAGCAAUAUUUUAUACGUAGUUACCAACACAGACAAAAGACAUCAAAAGUGGGGAAUCAAAAGCUCUGUAGCGAUUGAAGUUUUCAGAGGUGUGGUACUGUACAAGAUCCUCACCGCUCAUUUCAGAGGUGUUGUGCCAGAUCUUCACCGCUCAUUACUUCCAACUGAGUGAUGAUAUCUUGGGACAAAGAUUUGACAGACAGAUCAACGUCUUCCAGUAGUUCACCCAAGAAUGGAAUUGGUUUCAGCGAGCAGUACAAGGUACUCUUCUUUCAGAUUAUCCAUCAUCUGUUUCACGCUCCAUCUACAAUCUCUGACUCUGCCCAAUCAAUACUUCUGAUAAAGAGGGGUUUGAACUCAGACUCGGUUAGCUUCUUUUCUUUGUGAGUGUAACCGUCGCAUUGAUUACACUUUUCUCCGCAUCAUCAACGUUCUGAAUUGUUGCUGGAUUUUGGCGUCGGAUAUCUAGAGCAGCUAAGCAUUGGUCGAAAAUCUUUGCAUGGUUGCAAACAACAGAUGCUCUGUCCAUUUUAGCAACUAGAUUUUCUAGCAUAUCGAAAGCAAUCACCAAACUUGCAACGCCAGAACUAACAGCCUCAUUGUAUAUUCGUAGAAGAGAGGUUGCAGAGUGAGGCGGACCUGGAAGAAAGGUUAUUAUUGUUAGACCAUCAAUAACGCAGACUUUAGUGGGGUUUUUAAACAAAAAUAGUGAUUUAAUUAAAUCAAAAUUAAUUAGAAAGGUUAUUACUGAUCCUUAGCUUAGGUUUUUUGUGAUCGAUUAUUUGGUGGGUUUCAAACCACGUGUCACCAAAUCAGAGGACCGAACUUUAUUUUUCUUUUUCUUUCCUUUCUUUCUUUUGUUCUCUUUCUCAUUCUUUCGUGUUCUUUGUUUUCUCCGUCAAGAGGAGAGACCCAAAUCGAAGACGUCUCCUCCGCCUUCUCGGCCGAAACCGAAGACCGACGACGUCUCUCUGAUUCCGUCGUUGAGUCUCGUCCCACUUGUCUCGUCUUCUCCAUCAGAUCAAGGAUCGAAACCGAAGACCGAUGACGUCUCUCUGGCUCCUCACGGAGAUUCCUCCGCCUUCUCCGCUGAAACCGACGAUCGAAACCAAGGACGACUCUGUUGGUCCUCACGGAGUCUCGUCGCACUUCUCUCGUCUUCUCCGUCAGAUCAAGGAUCGAAACCGAAGACCGACGACGUCUCUCUGGCUCCUCACAGAGAUUCCUCCGCCUUCUCCGCCGAAACCGACAAUCGAAACCGAGGACGACUCUGUUGGUCCUCACGGAGUCCCGUCGCACUUCUCUCGUCUUCUCCAUCAGAUCAAGGAUCGAAACCGAGGACUGAAGACGUCUCUCUGGCUCCUCACGGAGAUUCCUCAUACUUCAUGUGAGGGUCGACGACUCUGUCAGUGUUGACGGCGUCUCCUCCGUCGGUCUUUCAGCUCUCGCUAACGAUCUCUUCAACGUGGAGAUAAGUUCCCAACUAUUUACAUCCUUCUCGUUUCAAUUCAUGAAUGCAUGUGAUAGUAGUUAAGUUAAUGAAUGGUGAUUACGGUUAUAAGUUUUGUGUAUCAUUGUAAAGUUUUAGCCUUUGAUCAAAAGUUGUAGGCUUUUUAAAUGUUUAGUUAAAAAGUCAUGAGGAUACAAUGAGAUUGUUAGUUAAUCUUGAAACUAGUACUGAAGAUCAGACUGGAACUUAAGUGUCGUGUAGUGUUGUCUGAAAUCUCUUUAGAUCAUUUUCUGAUUUGUCAAACAAUUUGAUUUCUGACUAUAGUAUCGUUCUAACAGUUUAUUGUUUACUUGGUUUGACUUGGUUUGCGUAGAUGAAUCAUGUGAGGAGGCAAAGAUCAGAGUGAGGACGCAAAGAUCAGAAUGAUCUGGCUACUUGAGACUUUAGGUUAUAGAAAUGAAGAGAGUGUCUGUUUGUGUCACAAGUGGACACAAGAUGCACGUUCAGUCACAAAAGCAUGCAGAGAUAUGAAGAGAAGUUUGUUUGUUUGUGUCACGAGCUGUGUAUGUGGGCUUCUCAAAGUCACGAGUGUGUCUCAUUAUGUAAAUAUUGUCUUUGCUUUUUCUAGUUUGUUGUUUUCCUAUAGUCACGAGUGUAAUAUGUUAUGUCUUUUGUUAUAUAAACGGUUCAUUCACGAAGCAUUUGAAUCAGAAAUUCUUCUUCUCUCCCAAA